Molecule: ribosomal RNA, 440 nt
Filed under: uncultured bacterium
Lineage: Bacteria
Description: partial 16S ribosomal RNA
Rfam family: Bacterial small subunit ribosomal RNA
Source: RNAcentral
CCUACGGGAGGCUGCAGUGGGGAAUAUUGCACAAUGGGGGAAACCCUGAUGCAGCGACGCCGCGUGAGUGAAGAAGUAAUUCGUUAUGUAAAGCUCUAUCAGCAGGGAAGAAAAUGACGGUACCUGAGUCAGAAGCCCCGGCGAACUACGUGCCAGAAGCCGCGGUAAUACGUAGGGGGCAAGGGUUAUCCGGAUUUACUGGGUGUAAAGGGAGCGUAGACGGCAGGGCAAGUCUGGAGUGAAAGGCGGGGGCUCAAGCCCCGGACUGCUGUGUAAACUGUACGGCUGGAGUGCAGGAGAGGUAAGUGGAAUUCCUAGUGUAGCGGUGAAAUGCGUAGAUAUUAGGAGGAACACCAGUUGCGAAGGCGGCGUACUGGACUGUAACUGACGUUGAGGCGCGAAAGCGUGGGGAGCAAACAGGAUUAGAUACCCCUGUAGUC